This 473-nucleotide ribosomal RNA is filed under the name Gadila sp. NHM_345. Its description in RNAcentral is "partial 16S ribosomal RNA". It matches the Rfam family "Bacterial large subunit ribosomal RNA", at positions 1811 to 2608 of the family's 2925-position model. Lineage: Eukaryota; Metazoa; Mollusca; Scaphopoda; Dentaliida; Gadilinidae. The record is from RNAcentral.
AAACAUUUCCUUAUGAAAUAAAUAAUAUAUAAGGUAAGACCUGCUCCAUGAUAAAAUUAAAUAGCCGCAGUAAUCUGACUGUGCAAAGGUAGCAUAAUCAUUUGCCUUAUAAUUGAAGGCUAGUAUGAAUGGUCAAAUGAAUAAUAACUUUCUUAAAAUAAUUAUAUGAAUUUAACUUAAUAGUGAAAAGGCUAUUAUUUCAAUAAUAGACAAGAAGACCCUAAGAGUUUUUACAAUUUUUUAAUUUUUAUUUAGUUGGGGCAAUUACAAAAUAAAACUUUUGUUUAAAUAUAAAAAAAAGAACUUUUAUAUAAUUUGUAUGAUAAAUUACCUUAGGGAUAACAGAAUAAUUUUAAUUUAGAGCCCAUAUCAAAAUUAAAGUUUAUUACCUCGAUGUUGGAUUAAGGUAACAAAUGUAAGCAAAAAUACAUUAACGUUUGUCUGUUCGACAAUUAAAUCCUUACGUGAUCUGA